ACUCUCGGCAACGGAUAUCUCGGCUCUCGCAUCGAUGAAGAACGUAGCGAAAUGCGAUACCUGGUGUGAAUUGCAGAAUCCCGCGAACCAUCGAGUCUUUGAACGCAAGUUGCGCCCGAGGCCACUCGGCCGAGGGCACGCCUGCCUGGGCGUCACGCCAAAACACGCUCCCAACCCCCUCAUCGGGAAUCAGGAUGCGACAUAUGGUCCAUCGUCUCGCAAGGAGCGGUGGACCGAAGAUCGGGCUGCCGGUGUACCGCGCCGGACACAGCGCAUGGUGGGCGUCCUUGCUUUAUCAACGCAGUGCAUCCGACGCGCAGCCGACAUGAUGGCCUCAAAAUGACCCAGCAAACAAAGCACACGUCGCUUCGACCGCGACUCCAGGUCAGGCGGGACUACUCGUUGAGAUUAAGCAUAUAAAUAAGCGGAGGAGAAGAAACUUACAAGGAUUCCCCUAGUAACAGCGAGCGAACCGGGAGCAGCCCAGCUUGAGAAUCGGGCGGCUGUGCCGUCCGAAUUGUAGUCUGGAGAGGCGUCCUCAGCGACGGACCGGGCCCAAGUCCCCUGGAAAGGGGCGCCUGGGAGGGUGAGAGCCCCGUCCGGCCCGGACCCUGUCGCCCCACGAUGCGCCGUCAACGAGUCGGGUUGUUUGGGAAUGCAGCCCAAAUCGGGCGGUAGACUCCGUCCAAGGCUAAAUACAGGCGAGAGACCGAUAGCGAACAAGUACCGCUAGGGAAAGAUGAAAAGGACUUUGAAAAGAGAGUCAAAGAGUGCUUGAAAUUGCCGGGAGGGAAGCGGAUGGGGGCCGGCGAUGCGCCCCGGCCGUAUGCGGAACGACUCUUGCUGGUCCGCCGCUCGGCUCGGGGUGUAGACUGUUGUCGGCCGCGCCGACGGCCAAAGCCCGGGGGCCCUAGGUGCCCCCGGUGGCCGUCGUCGGCAUGGCCGGUACCCGCGGGCCCAAAGGCGUGUCCCUCGGGGCACUACGCUGCAACGGCCUGCGGGCUCCCCAUCUGACCCGUCUUGAAACACGGACCAAGUAGUCUGACAUGCGUGCGAGUCGACGGGUUCUGAAACCUGGGAUGCGGAAGGAAGCUGACGAGCGGGAGGCCCUCACAGGCCGCACCGCUGGCCGACCCUGAUCUUCUGUGAGGGGUUCGAGUUGGAGCACACCUGUUGGGACCCGAAGGAUGGUGAACUAUGCCUGAGCGGGGAGAAGCCAGAGGAAACUCUGGUGGAGGCUCGAAGCGAUAAUGACGUGCAAAUCGUUCGUCUGACUUGGGUAUAGGGGUGAAAGACUAAUCGAACCAUCUAGUAGCUGGUUCCCUCCGAAGUUUCCCUCAGGAUAGCUGGAGCCCAUUACGAGUCCUAUCAGGUAAAGCCAAUGAUUCGAGGCAUCGGGGAUGCAACGUCCUCGACCUAUUCUCAAACUUUAAAUAGGUAGGAUGGCGCGGCUGCUUCGGUGAGCCGUGCCAUGGAAUCGGGUGCUCGAAGUGGGCCAUUUUUGGUAAGUAGAACUGGCGAUGCGGGAUGAACCGGAAGCCGGGUUACGGUGCCCAACUACGCGCUAACCUACAACCCACAAAGGGUGUUGGUCGAUUAAGACAGCAGGACGGUGGUCAUGGAAUUCGAAAUCCGCUAAGGAGUGUGUAACAACUCACCUGCCGAAUCAACUAGCCCCGAAAAUGGAUGGCGCUGAAGCGCGCAACCCACACCCGGCCAUCUGGGCGAGCGCCAUGCCUCGAUGAGUAGGAGGGCGCGACGGCCGCUGCAAAACCUGGGGCGCGAGCCCGGGAGGAGCGGCCAUCGGUGCAGAUCUUGGUGGUAGUAGCAAAUAUUCAAAUGAGAACUUUGAAGGCCGAAGAGGAGAAAGGUUCCAUGUGAACGGCACUUGCAGAUGGGUAAGCCGAUCCUAAGGGACGGGGUAACCCCGGCAGAUAGCGCGAUCACGCGCAUCCCCUGAAAGGGAAUCGGGUUAAGAUUUCCAGAGCCGGGAUGUGGCGGUUGACGACGACGUUAGGAAUUCCGGAGACACCGGCGGGGGCCUCGGGAAGAGUUGUCUUUUCUGCUUAACGGCCUGCCAA
RNAcentral lists this ribosomal RNA (2081 nucleotides) under Triticum aestivum (bread wheat). RNAcentral's name for it is "eukaryotic LSU rRNA". The stretch from base 376 to 2081 matches the Rfam family "Eukaryotic large subunit ribosomal RNA", at positions 1 to 1717 of the family's 3401-position model. The record is from RNAcentral. Lineage: Eukaryota; Viridiplantae; Streptophyta; Magnoliopsida; Poales; Poaceae.